Molecule: ribosomal RNA, 253 nt
Filed under: uncultured bacterium
Lineage: Bacteria
Description: partial 16S ribosomal RNA
Rfam family: Bacterial small subunit ribosomal RNA
Source: RNAcentral
UACGUAGGGGGCAAGCGUUGUCCGGAUUUAUUGGGCGUAAAGAGCGUGUAGGCGGCCAGGUAGGUGGGUUGUGAAAACUGGAGGCUCAACCUUCAGAGGUCGACCCAAACCCCCUGGCUAGAGUCCGGAAGAGGAGAGUGGAAUUCCUGGUGUAGCGGUGAAAUGCGCAGAUAUCAGGAAGAACACCCGUGGCGAAGGCGGCCCUCUGGGACGGUACUGACGCUGAGACGCGAAAGCGUGGGGAGCGAACAGG